UCCAGGCCGUAAUAAUAGGACCAUGGGCUCCUAAAGCAGUGGACUGCACAGUGUGCGUGCUGUCUAUACUAUUGUGCCUAAUGCUACCAGAGACCUUCAAGAUGACGCUUCCGGACACUGUUGAUGACGUCAAAAAAAGAAGCACGAAGAAUGCCUCGAAAACAAAACCAGAUGGCCUAGACAAAUUGAACGAAGAAUUUCCUUGCGUAACUGCUACUGAAGAGCAGGAUGCCAUUCAGAAAUUGUCACAGGACGGAGAAAGAAGGCUAUGAUGAGCAAGUACAGCGAAAGACAACUAAUUCACAAGUAUUUGUGGCGCAUGUCAUGCGACUGACGUGAAAAAAAGAAAAAGAACACUACUGUGAAGAGGUGCUAUAGCUAAGACAUCCCAUACCACUAUUUCUAGAAGUGUAUCUAAGGAAAUUUUUUUUACUGACACCUAAAGAGUUGUUAAGCCAAUACGACCAGUGCAAUAAAUAUUGGUUUUAGUAA
This is a long non-coding RNA of Rhipicephalus microplus (southern cattle tick), 492 nucleotides long. The record is from RefSeq and is a predicted model, not a curated record. Lineage: Eukaryota; Metazoa; Arthropoda; Arachnida; Ixodida; Ixodidae.